RNAcentral lists this unclassified non-coding RNA (1611 nucleotides) under Bos taurus (domestic cattle). RNAcentral describes it as "phospholipase D family, member 5". The record is from RNAcentral. Lineage: Eukaryota; Metazoa; Chordata; Mammalia; Artiodactyla; Bovidae.
AUGGAGAUCCGGCAGCAUGAGUGGCUCUCGGCCUCCCCCCACGAGGGCUUCGAGCAGAUGAGGCUGAAAAGCCGCCCCAAGGAGCCCUCGCCGAGCCUGACCCGAGUGGGCGCGAACUUCUACAGCAGCGUCAAGCAGCAGGACUACAGCGCCAGCGUCUGGCUCCGGAGGAAAGACAAGCUGGAGCACUCCCAGCAGAAGUGCAUCGUGAUCUUUGCGCUGGUGUGCUGCUUUGCCAUUCUCGUUGCAUUGAUAUUUUCAGCUGUGGAUAUCAUGGGAGAGGAUGAAGAUGGACUGUCAGAAAAAAAUUGUCAAAAUAAAUGUCGAAUUGCCCUGGUGGAAAAUAUUCCUGAAGGCCUUAACUAUUCAGAAAAUGCACCAUUUCACUUAUCACUUUUCCAAGGCUGGAUGAAUUUACUCAGCAUGGCCAAAAAGUCUGUUGACAUAGUAUCUUCCCAUUGGGAUCUCAACCACAGUCAUCCAUCAGCAUGUCAGGGUCAACGUCUUUUCGAAAAGUUGCUCCAACUGACUUCUCAAAGUAUUGAAAUCAAGCUAGUGAGUGAUGUAACAGCUGAUUCAAAGGUAUUAGAAGCCUUGAAAUCAAAGGGAGCUGAGGUGACCUACAUGAACAUGACUGCCUACAACAAGGGCCGACUGCAGUCCUCCUUCUGGAUCGUGGACAAACAGCAUGUGUACAUCGGCAGUGCCGGUUUGGACUGGCGGUCUCUGGGACAGAUGAAAGAACUCGGUGUCAUCUUCUACAACUGCAGCUGCCUGGUCCUAGAUUUACAAAGGAUAUUCGCUUUAUAUAGUUCAUUAAAAUUCAAGAGCAGAGUACCUCAGACCUGGUCCAAGAGACUUUAUGGAGUCUAUGACAAUGAAAAGAAAUUGCAGCUUCAGUUGAACGAAACCAAAUCUCAAGCAUUUGUGUCGAAUUCUCCCAAACUCUUUUGCCCUAAAAACAGAAGCUUUGACAUAGACGCCAUCUACAGUGUAAUAGAUGAUGCCAAGCAAUACGUGUACAUCGCAGUCAUGGACUACCUGCCUAUCUCCAGCACAAGCACCAAAAGGACUUACUGGCCAGACUUGGACGGGAAAAUCAGAGAAGCAUUAGUUCUGCGGAGCGUCAAAGUUCGACUCCUUAUAAGCUUCUGGAAGGAAACUGACCCCCUCACAUUUAACUUUAUUUCAUCUCUUAAAGCUAUUUGCACUGAAAUAGCCAACUGCAGUUUGAAAGUUAAAUUCUUUGAUCUGGAAAGAGAGAAUGCUUGCAUUAGAAAAGAACAAAGGAACCACACCUUCCCUAGAUUAAACCGCAACAAGUACAUGGUGACGGACGGCGCAGCUUAUAUUGGAAAUUUUGACUGGGUGGGGAAUGACUUCACCCAGAAUGCUGGCACAGGCCUUGUUAUCAACCAAGCAGAUGUGAGGAACAACACAAGCAUCAUUAAGCAACUCAAGGAUGUGUUUGAGAGGGACUGGUACUCGCCCUAUGCCAGAACCUUGCAGCCCACCAAGCAACCCAACUGCUCAAGCCUCUUCAGACUCAGACUCCCCUCAAACAAAACUGCCAUGUACAACGCAAGUGGGAAGGACCCCUAGAGUGUGUAG